This 478-nucleotide ribosomal RNA is filed under the name uncultured bacterium. RNAcentral describes it as "partial 16S ribosomal RNA". It matches the Rfam family "Bacterial small subunit ribosomal RNA", at positions 28 to 507 of the family's 1533-position model. The record is from RNAcentral.
GAUGAACGCUGGCGGCGUGCCUAACACAUGCAAGUCGAACGGAGACCAGCCGCUUAGACCUUCUGGUCAAAGGGGGAAAGACUGAGUGGCGGACGGGUGAGUAACCCUUGGCCAACCUGGCUCAUCGAGGGGGUUAACAGAGAGAAAUUUCUGCUAUUACGCCACAAGCACACGCUUCCGCAGUGCAGGGGGUGCAAAGAGAAGCGCUAUGAGAUGGACCCGCGUCUGAUUAGCCAGUUGGCAGGGUAAGUGCCUACCAACGCGACGAUCAGUGGCCGAUCUGGGAGGAUGACAGGCCACAUUGGGACUGAGACACGGCCCCAACUGGUACGGGAGGCAGCGGUGGGGGAUAUUGCAGAAUGAGGCGAAACCUGAUGAAGCGACGCGGGGGGAGUGAAGAAGUAUUUCGGUAUGUAAAGCUCUAUCAGCAGAGAAGAUAAUGACAGUAACUGGAAAAGAAGCCCCGGCUAACUACGUG